This 80-nucleotide ribosomal RNA is filed under the name uncultured bacterium. RNAcentral's name for it is "partial 16S ribosomal RNA". The record is from RNAcentral.
UGAGGAAUCUGUCCAUCGGCGGGGGAUAGCCGGCCCAACGGCCGGGUAAUACCGCGUACGUCGGNGGGAGCGCAUGCUCC